Long non-coding RNA from Alligator mississippiensis (American alligator), 2853 nucleotides. RefSeq lists it as uncharacterized. The transcript has 4 exons. The record is from RefSeq and is a predicted model, not a curated record. NCBI's taxonomy places the organism in Eukaryota, Metazoa, Chordata, Crocodylia, Alligatoridae.
AUGGAAACCCCGGCCUCACACUAUCACAAUGUGGCUGCUGCUGGGGUCUCUAUGAAAACCAGCUCCUACCAUGAAGGAAGGGGCUGCUGGGAAAUGGAGUCUGGCUGCCAGCCAGAUCCACCAUUUUGCUCAUCCCUGGUCUAACCUGUGGGCUGAUAGCUAGACCACUGUCCUGGGAAGUGGGAGCUGCAAAUUGAAACCUACUGUGAGUGAGAGCAGAAACACAAAAUCUGGUGGUUGUCCUUGCUUAGUAAGUGCUUUAACUACUAAGAUAUUGGUCCAAAAGGUGGGAGGUGCCCCUCCUCUAUUUUGCUUCCAUCAGGUGUGUCACAACCCAAUGAUUUUAGUGCCUUGGCACGGUGGAAUUUUCCCACCACAUGAGAGUCUCUGUGCACAGCAAAAGUUUUCUGUUGCAACAGAAAACUCCGGUGCAAGAGAGUUCCCGCCAUUUGUAUGCAAAUUUGUGUCCCACUAUUGGCCAGUUCUCAAUUAUUCCUACGUGGUGGUUAGCGAUUGGCUUGUUAGCCAUAUAAAAUUCUGUGCGACUUCCGCCCAAGUCGGAGAACUUUUGAGAACGCUGCAGAGUGACUUUGAAGAUUCCCGACUUGUGGCUGAGCUAAUCGAUAGCCUAAUCAACUAUCGAUUUUUCUCCCCAUCGCCGAGUGCCAUCCUUCGAAGUACCCUUUUCCCUGCCGGCCUGGUUCGUGUACGGAUUCGCUGGCCUGAGUCUUGCCAGCUGGAGCAACUCGUGUGAUUAUUUAAGCAACCGGACCACCUGUGUCGCGGCUACUGGCGGCCAAUAAAUUGGUUUGUCUGUAUUUAUCCUACUAAACAUCACCUGCCUCUCAUAGAAUCAAGAGGACUAACUGGCUAUUCCAUGAGAGAGCCUGCUCUUCUGAGGUCUGUAACCUGAUUUUUCAAACUCAAAAAGGAUUUCAUUUUUGUUUUCUUCACCAAAUUGCAGAGACAUAAUGAGAACAAGGCUCAAGUAUAUUAACAGCAAAGACACAAGAUUCAUGAUGCACAUCCUGAACCAUGAUAUAACCCAAGAAACCUGCUGAAAUACUACAAAUAAAAGUAAUAGAAAUCUAAACGGGAUGAAGCUGUUACAAGCAGCAAGGAGAGGGGAGCAGUGCCACUGCCACUGCCUGUGCCCGAGACUGCAUCCCUUCCAUGCGCAGCAGCUAUAACCCUGGCACCCCCACCAUGACAACAACCACAACCAGCAUCACCAGCACCAGCACAGCAGCCUACUCCUCUCCUAUGUCACUUCCCAUGCUGAGCCUUCCAGUGCCAGAAGAAGAGCUGGUGCUGGAUCUGGAUCUCAGUGCCCUAGCAAGGGAAAUUCUGGGGAAGGAGGGGGAAUCAGCUGAUUUUGUGCUCGACACCCCUCAAGUUUCUCUUUGAGCCAGGUCUCCUUCCCCAGAAGGCACUUCAGAGGAUGUUGAUGUAAAGGUGGAGGCAAGUGAUUCAGAUGAGUCCGCUCCUCCUCUUACCAUGCCUCUUCCAGCUGAGAGGGGGAAAGUGCAGCAGCAUCCACAGAUGCACCCGCACCCCUGAAGCAAGUGGGUAGUGUUGUCUGGGAUCACUUUGAGCUGGCAGAUGAUCCCACAUAUGCUAUCUGCCUGCACUGUCAAGCCAAAACCAGCCAGGGCAAGGGAAAAAAAAAAACAACACAUGAGCACCACAGGGAUCCUGAUGCAUCUCUGCAGGCAUCACCCCCUUGCCCUUGCUCCUCCUCAGCCUGGCACCAGUGUGUUAUGCCUCAGCUCUGUAUUCUUGGGCAACCCUGGCACAGGAUGCAGUCUGUCUGACUCACAAAGGACUCACCCCCCCUCCCUCCGCUCCUCUACCUAAACGAAACUGAUUAAGAUGCAGUGAGAGACACACCUAAGACCCUCAAGAUAAGGGUGACAAGAGUGAACCAACUGCCCUAGAUCUCAUUUACAUCCGAGAUGGAACCAGAUGACCAUUCAUUUACAUGAGAGAUGGAGAACAGAAAGCCUGAAGCAGAGACUGCAGUGAAUUCUGGGACCAGAAAAGCAGGGGAGCACUGCAUGAUGGGGAAUCUGUGCUUCAAAUGUUAAUCAACCCAUGUUCACACACACCCAGCUCAGCAUUUAUCAGACCAGUUCUAAUCUGGAUUUACUAAGGACUUUCCCCCCCCCCAGACACACACACACAGCUCUAAGUUUAAUAGGUAUCUUGGGCUGUACAUUCCCCGGUCCCACUAUGGGAGGCCUAUUUAAACUUGAUUGACUAAAACUCGGUUGCCGGGUUAGGGAAUGCUGAUGCAAGAGACCGAGUCCGAGGGGGUAUGGGCAACAUUUGAACAAUGGUUAAGGGUUCAUCACAGCAUCCAGCCUGCUGGAGCCCUAAUCACAGGUGUUGUCAUACCUUUCCUGAGAUGACUGGUGGGAGUCCUUUCCACAAAAGGUUAUGAGCACCCCAGUAAUUGUCUUAAGUCUGCUAAAAGACUAUAGUAAAAUAUGGAAAAGUCAUGCUAAGCUGAGGCUUGUGCACAACAAGUAAAAAUCCAAAAUCCUGAUGCUGCAAGCUAUCUAUUGUUCCUGAAGAAACCAUGAGAUAUCCCAUCAGUAUAUCUGCCAUCCAUAGGAAUCUCAAGCUGGCUCCCAAGUAUUUGGGUUACUCCCUAAUCUUAAGUGUUUCCUGAUUAUCAAUCAGUUUCCUGAGAUGGUCCAAACCAGAUAACCCCUUGUCAAUAGAAAAGACAAUGAUUUACACUACUGAGGGUGCUUCGAAGCAGCUGAACUGAGGGUAUAAAAUCUGUAAAAAGUGUGCGCGCUUCAAGAAGAGGAAAGAAGAAGGAGGAGAGAAGAAGAAGAAGGAAGA